RNAcentral lists this ribosomal RNA (545 nucleotides) under uncultured bacterium. RNAcentral describes it as "bacterial SSU rRNA". It matches the Rfam family "Bacterial small subunit ribosomal RNA", at positions 960 to 1509 of the family's 1533-position model. The record is from RNAcentral.
GACGAAAAACCUUACCCACCUUUGACAUGUACGGAAUCCUUUAGAGAUAGAGGAGUGCUCGAAAGAGAGCCGUAACACAGGUGCUGCAUGGCUGUCGUCAGCUCGUGUCGUGAGAUGUUGGGUUAAGUCCCGCAACGAGCGCAACCCUUGCCAUUAGUUGCUACGAAAGGGCACUCUAAUGGGACUGCCGGUGACAAACCGGAGGAAGGUGGGGAUGACGUCAAGUCCUCAUGGCCCUUAUAGGUGGGGCUACACACGUCAUACAAUGGCUGGUACAGAGGGUUGCCAACCCGCGAGGGGGAGCUAAUCCCAUAAAGCCAGUCGUAGUCCGGAUCGCAGUCUGCAACUCGACUGCGUGAAGUCGGAAUCGCUAGUAAUCGCGGAUCAGAAUGUCGCGGUGAAUACGUUCCCGGGUCUUGUACACACCGCCCGUCACACCAUGGGAGCGGGUUCUGCCAGAAGUAGGUAGCCUAACCGUAAGGAGGGCGCUUACCACGGCAGGGUUCGUGACUGGGGUGAAGUCGUAACAAGGUAGGCGUAGAUGA